Molecule: small nuclear RNA, 112 nt
Gene: U5
Rfam family: U5 spliceosomal RNA
About the family: U5 RNA is a component of both types of known spliceosome. The precise function of this molecule is unknown, though it is known that the 5' loop is required for splice site selection and p220 binding, and that both the 3' stem-loop and the Sm site are important for Sm protein binding and cap methylation.
Source: Ensembl
CUAUGGUGGUUUCUCUUCAGAUCAAAUACAUCUUUUGCCUUUUACUAAAGAUAUCCAUGGAGCCAGCAUUCUGAGUUUAAUCAGGUUUUUGAGGCCCUUCCUUGGCAGGGCU